RNAcentral lists this ribosomal RNA (229 nucleotides) under uncultured bacterium. RNAcentral describes it as "partial 16S ribosomal RNA". It matches the Rfam family "Bacterial small subunit ribosomal RNA", at positions 568 to 796 of the family's 1533-position model. The record is from RNAcentral.
UCCGUAGGUGGAUAAUUAAGUCAGAGGUGAAAUUCUGCAGCUCAACUGUAGAAUUGCCUUUGAUACUGGUUAUCUUGAGUCAUUAUGAAGUGGUUAGAAUGUGUAGUGUAGCGGUGAAAUGCAUAGAUAUUACACAGAAUACCGAUUGCGAAGGCAGAUCACUAAUAAUGUACUGACACUGAGGGACGAAAGCGUGGGGAGCGAACAGGAUUAGAUACCCUGGUAGUCC